UACAGAGGGUGCGAGCGUUAAUCGGAAUUACUGGGCGUAAAGCGCGCGUAGGCGGCUUUGCAAGUCGGGUGUGAAAUCCCCAGGCUUAACCUGGGAACUGCAUUCGAGACUGCAUUGCUAGAGUAUGGGAGAGGGAAGUGGAAUUUCCGGUGUAGCGGUGAAAUGCGUAGAUAUCUGGAGGAACACCGGUGGCGAAGGCGGCAUCCUGGACCGGUAUUGACGCUGAGGCGCGAAAGCCAGGGGAGCAAACGGG
Molecule: ribosomal RNA, 253 nt
Filed under: uncultured bacterium
Lineage: Bacteria
Description: partial 16S ribosomal RNA
Rfam family: Bacterial small subunit ribosomal RNA
Source: RNAcentral